Molecule: ribosomal RNA, 549 nt
Filed under: Triticum aestivum (bread wheat)
Lineage: Eukaryota; Viridiplantae; Streptophyta; Magnoliopsida; Poales; Poaceae
Description: partial small subunit ribosomal RNA
Source: RNAcentral
AUGCCAUCGAUGCGGGCUUCCUCAACCCAACCGGAGCAAAGCAAACACCACAUCCACCUCACUCAGCUCAGCUCACUUCAUCCCGAAGAAGAAGAUCGCGUCAUGGGGCCUGGAAGGUUUCUUGGUCAGAAGAAGAAGGAGGAGGCGAGGUCACUAACAGGUGGUGGCCGUGGCUCUGGGGCGCGAGGCGGCGUCCGCGACACUCCGGAGUCCAGCUCCGCGGCGCGCGGCGGCCUCGACGGCCCUAAGAAGGAGCCGGAGCCGCCCCUGCUGGAGGAGCACUUGGGGUUGGCCUUUGAGGCCGGCGACCCGGAAGACUCGCCGGGGUUCCUCCAGGCGAUUCGCGAAUCGGAGAAGGCGUCGCCGUCGCCCCUGCUGCUGGAGAAGUACCAGAAGUUGGCCCCCGAGGCCGGUCACCCCGACGACCCCCCGGAUUCUCCGGGGCUCCACGCCGCGCUCGCCGCUUCGAGGGCCCCGGGCGGCGUCAUUGACCUGAGUGACUACGACUUCGGCAGCGACGACGAGGACAAGAGGAUUAGGACUAGUUAG